CUGGAGUGACGUGUUGGGGCGGGGCUUUAGCCGGCGUCUCUCCCGCGCUUUUCCAGAAAAAGUGCGCAUUUUGACGUUUCCGAGCUGACUUACGUGGGUUGUCAAUUGAGGACCCGAUUUAAGGGCUUUAGGAGAACUGCCGACACCCGCCCUGGGACUCCAACCUACGUCAACAAAAAUGUAGCCGGAGCGGGACCGUAAACAGCUUGCAUCCCGACAAAGAGGGUACUGCUUGAAGAACUUUCAACCACUCUUGGUGAUGCCAAGGAUACAUUUUGCUAAAACAGUAAUUAUGCUUCUGGACCCUUGCCUGGUAAAAUGGAAAACAUGUAAAACAUUUGCUGCACUGAUGAGACCCUAAGGGAAGACUGUCUACUAUCAAAGGAAGACUCCAAUUCAUCUCUACUUAAAAGCG
This is a long non-coding RNA of Balaenoptera ricei (Rice's whale), 415 nucleotides long. RefSeq lists it as uncharacterized. The record is from RefSeq and is a predicted model, not a curated record. The transcript is spliced from 3 exons. Lineage: Eukaryota; Metazoa; Chordata; Mammalia; Artiodactyla; Balaenopteridae.